RNAcentral lists this long non-coding RNA (889 nucleotides) under Coffea arabica (coffee). RNAcentral describes it as "long non-coding RNA (CARA_LNC008265)". Lineage: Eukaryota; Viridiplantae; Streptophyta; Magnoliopsida; Gentianales; Rubiaceae. The record is from RNAcentral.
GGAUAGGGGUUUGAUAUAGGGGAGAGUGGUGGUAGAACGUGGAGAAUGGUGAUUGCACUGAUAGGUAAACAUAGGGGGCUCUUCCGUAGGUUGACUUAACUAUAGAAAAAUUUUUCGUAAGUUUGCUUAACUAGAAUAGUUGUUGGAUGGUCUUUUAUGCAUAUACAUACAUAUAUAUUAGUGUAAUUGAAUCAAUUCUUCCGCCUCCGUUAGUUUUGAUGAUUUCCGCUACUGUUUCAAAUUAGUUUCAAAGGAGUUUUUUGUAGUUUAGCUUAACCACAGGAGAUUUUUCUGUAUUUUACCCUGGAGAAAAUAUUGAUAACAAAACAUCACAUAAUAUUUUCAUGUAGCAUAAGUUAACAAUACAAUUUGGUAUGGCUAGAAUAAGAUUGCAAAUGGACAAAUACGGAAUUAGCAAAUUUUCUCACAGCACUUAAAUAUGAACAUAAGUUUGGAGUGGAAAUGGAGUUCACACCUGUAAAAAUGUUUCCCCCAAGAGAUAAAUCCUUGAGCUUGACCAAGUAUCCAAGUGUUCUUGGAAUCUGACCAUUGAACUGAUUGUAGGACAGUGACAAAUGCUCAAGGUCUCUGCAAUUAUAUAACUUAGAUGGAAUUGAACCUUGAAGCUGAUUGACUGAAAGGUUCAGUCCUUUGAUCUGUUUCAACUGAUGGUUGCAGAUAUCUAAUGGGAGACUACCAGAUAAGCUAUUCUCUGCAAAGUCGAUUUCUUCCAAGGAUAUAUUGAAGAUGCCAGAUGGUAUGGACCCGGUAAGCUGGUUACCUCUUAAAGUUAAUGUCCUCAAGUUGGAAAGAUUUCCAAUCCCUUUUGGAAUAUUUCCUUCCAAUAAAUUGUACCCAGAUUCAGUUUCUCCAGAUUUGAGAUAUUCCC